AUUGAACGCUGGCGGCAGGCCUAACACAUGCAAGUCGAGCGGAUGAAGGGAGCUUGCUCCUGGAUUCAGCGGCGGACGGGUGAGUAAUGCCUAGGAAUCUGCCUGGUAGUGGGGGAUAACGUCCGGAAACGGGCGCUAAUACCGCAUACGUCCUGAGGGAGAAAGUGGGGGAUCUUCGGACCUCACGCUAUCAGAUGAGCCUAGGUCGGAUUAGCUAGUUGGUGGGGUAAAGGCCUACCAAGGCGACGAUCCGUAACUGGUCUGAGAGGAUGAUCAGUCACACUGGAACUGAGACGCGGUCCAGAUUCCUACGGGAGGCAGCAGUGGGGAAUAUUGGACAAUGGGCGAAAGCCUGAUCCAGCCAUGCCGCGUGUGUGAAGAAGGUCUUCGGAUUGUAAAGCACUUUAAGUUGGGAGGAAGGGCAGUAAGUUAAUACCUUGCUGUUUUGACGUUACCAACAGAAUAAGCACCGGCUAACUUCGUG
Molecule: ribosomal RNA, 484 nt
Filed under: uncultured bacterium
Lineage: Bacteria
Description: partial 16S ribosomal RNA
Rfam family: Bacterial small subunit ribosomal RNA
Source: RNAcentral